AAAAAAAGUUAUAUAUUGCCAAAUUGUGCUCCAAAAAGGUUAUAUGUGUUUAUCCUUAUGCUAACCAUAUAUGAGACUUUCCUAAAUCAGCCCUCUUUCUCCGUUAUCUCAGCUGGAGAAGCGACUGGAGGAGUGGUUGGGGAGGACAUUGCCUGGCAGUGACUGGACACCCAAUGCCCAGUUUAUCACCCGUUCUUGGCUUCGGGAUGGCCUCAAGCCACGCUGCAUAACCCGAGACCUCAAAUGGGGAACCCCUGUACCCUUAGAAGGUUUUGAAGACAAGGUAUUCUAUGUCUGGUUUGAUGCCACUAUUGGCUAUCUGUCCAUCACAGCCAACUACACAGACCAGUGGGAGAGAUGGUGGAAGAACCCAGAGCAAGUGGACCUGUAUCAGUUCAUGGCCAAAGACAAUGUUCCUUUCCAUAGCUUAGUCUUUCCUUGCUCAGCCCUAGGAGCUGAGGAUAACUAUACCUUGGUCAGCCACCUCAUUGCUACAGAGUACCUGAACUAUGAGGAUGGGAAAUUCUCUAAGAGCCGCGGUGUGGGAGUGUUUGGGGACAUGGCCCAGGACACGGGGAUCCCUGCUGACAUCUGGCGCUUCUAUCUGCUGUACAUUCGGCCUGAGGGCCAGGACAGUGCUUUCUCCUGGACGGACCUGCUGCUGAAGAAUAAUUCUGAGCUGCUUAACAACCUGGGCAACUUCAUCAACAG
RNAcentral lists this small RNA (711 nucleotides) under Pan troglodytes (chimpanzee). RNAcentral's name for it is "retained intron". The record is from RNAcentral. Lineage: Eukaryota; Metazoa; Chordata; Mammalia; Primates; Hominidae.